Molecule: ribosomal RNA, 398 nt
Filed under: uncultured bacterium
Lineage: Bacteria
Description: partial 16S ribosomal RNA
Rfam family: Bacterial small subunit ribosomal RNA
Source: RNAcentral
GAAUCUUAGACAAUGGGGGAAACCCUGAUCUAGCAAUGCCGCGUGAUCGAUGAAGGCCUUAGGGUUGUAAAGAUCUUUCAGCUGGGAAGAUAAUGACGGUACCAGCAGAUGAAGCCCCGGCUAACUCCGUGCCAGCAGCCGCGGUAAUCCGGCGGGGGCUAGCGUUAUUCGGAUUUACUGGGCGUAAUGCGAACGUAGGAGGAGUAGAAAGUUAGGGGUGAAAUCCCGGGGCUCAACCUCGGAACUGCCUCUAAAACUCCUGGUCUUGAGGUCGAGAGAGGUGAGUGGAAUUCCGAGUGUAGAGGUGAAAUUCGGAGAUAUUCGGAGGAACACCAGUGGCGAAGGCGGCUCACUGGCUCGAUACUGACGCUGAGGUGCGAAAGCGUGGGGAGCAAACA